Molecule: long non-coding RNA, 3267 nt
Filed under: Podarcis muralis (Common wall lizard)
Lineage: Eukaryota; Metazoa; Chordata; Lepidosauria; Squamata; Lacertidae
Description: lncRNA (ENSPMRG00000013043.1)
Source: RNAcentral
GUGCCCCUCAUGCUUGCCUUUCCUCCGACCCCCAGGUGAGAAGACAGGAGGGUGGAAUGAAAUGUCAGAGAUGAGCCUCCAAACACAUAAAUGCUCAAGAGAACCUGAAAAUUAGUUAGAAACCAUCUCACCCAUCCCAAUUGUUUAAUGUCAAAGGCUUCAGAGGCAUAGAUUCAAUCAACAAGGAAGAGGAAGCCAAGGAGUAAAUGAAUUAGAAGUCACACCUUGCCUGCCAUUUUUCUUCCUGGGGUGAGACAUAUCAUAAAACAUUUACAGUUUCUUUGGUGCUAGCAAUCAAUGUAAAGUGCCAUUUGUAUACAGCUCACAUCUUCCCAAACUAGGGGAAGCCCUGAAAAACCUUCCUAAUGUCAAGCAGUAAUUGCAUUUUUAUAACAUUAAUCACCUUUUAUCAUUACUUUUCAAUUUGUUGAGUCAAAUGCCACAUUUGCUAGCAUUAGGCUUCUGUACUGCCUCUGCAUUAAUUACACAGACAGAUUGAAUUUGUUACCAUGUUGUUAAGACCCAGCACAUAAAUAAAAAUAAGUGGACUUCCUUUCUCAAGGUUCUAAUAAUAGGUUAGGGCAAGACUCCGAUUAGUACUUGUCACAUCAUCCAAAGAGUAUGAUGAAAGCUUCUGGGGCAAUGGGGGGAAAUGGACUGUGAAUUCAGAAAUUAUUCCUGCCACCUGAGGCAGUUCCUGGUGCACUUGAAAGACAAGGGUGGGGCAGUCAUUACUAUAGCAGGGCAUCUGGCUGCUUUAGCUCUUUGGUUCCAGGCUUCUGGGGUGAAGAGCUUCACUGGUGACUUCUGUGUUAAGAAGAUGUUAGAAGGUUGGGACAAGGCGUUCCUGCCUGUCCCUGACAAAUGCAGACCUAUCACACCCAAUGUCUUAAUGCUGCUUCUGCCUCAAUUCUAGUUCCUUUGUUCUCCUUUCGCAGUUGUUUUCUGCUGUUGCUUUGGUAGCAUUUUAUGGGCCAUUCUGGACUAGGCAUGUUGCUGGAUGCUAUCAGAGUCAUAUUGUAUGGACACUCCAUCUUGUUCUGGGUAUACAGAACAGCUGCUUCACUGGCCAUUGGGAUGCAGGGAUACCUUUCGGCCCAGGCUACUUGUCAGUGGGUGACAAGGCAGGGGUUGCACAGGGAGGGACUGUUGCCCACCUUUCAUUGCCUGGAGGCAACCUUGCCUCACAAUUUCAUCAUUGACUUGGGUGAGACUGAUUUCAUCCAACAGACAGGAUUCAAGAUCCUUGCCAGCAUGUUGAAUCCGGACACAGGAUCCAGGGUGAAACAAGAUUGUUCCAAGAGUCCAGCACAGCAGGUAAACUUGCUUUAUGUUGCCUGUAUGCUUCCCUGCAGCCAAGCGCAUUUGCACAUCAACAGUAUUGCUUUGCAGCAGGGCUACCCAGUGACAUUAUCUUCAAAAGUACUUCAAGGCCAGUGGAACGCUGCGGGGAGCUCUGCUUUUUUAAAAAAUAUAUAAAAAAGCAAGAACAGGAAUAAAGAAAACCUCACAAAACUUAUUUAUGAAUUUCCUUGGCAAUGUUGAUUCUUUUACCAGCCCUAGCAAUAGUGAUUAGGGCGGGAGUUAGCAGAGAUUCGGGACUGCAUCAACUCAAUUUGCCUGGUCACCUUGCUGCGCAUCAGAACAUUUCAGCAUCCUUGGUAUGCUUUGGGAAAUGUUUGACCGCUGUGGAGGGCACUGAAAUCUAAGGCUAUGAUCUGGUUUCUGUCCCUUCUCCUUACACACUGUAUUUUUCAGCUGCAGGUUUUCAGCUGUCAAAGAAUCUGACAUCCCAGUUUUCAGAGCUCCACUGUGAGAGCAGUCUUGGGUGAGCCAGGAGCUGGGAACCAGGGGCUGUGGGGCAGAGCAGUAUUCAGGACCCAGGAGUAAGUCAGAACCCAAGGAGAAAGCAGAAGGGAGGCAGGAGUUGGAACCAAAAGGACAAAGGAGACAGGAGAAGGAGCAAGUCCAAUUUCAGGACUGAAGAACAACCAAGGACAUAGGAACAUGGCGGAGCUCAGGCACUGCCCAUACUCCUUUCUCUCUGGAAGGGUGGAAGGAUGGAGGCAGUCCAGGGCCUGAGGUACUUCACCACAAAGCAGCCAGCUGCAUUCCAUGGGGCAGCUGCACACAGAUCCCAGCAGCUCCUACAGUACCAUAUUGGCCUGAAUAUAAGCCGCAAUUCCCCCCCCCCAAUUCCGACAGUGAAAAGUUAAAGUGCGGUGUCAGGGAACUGCCAUCGGAAAGACAGGAGGUGGAAAGGCUCCCGGAGGUUGAGAGAGACUUAGCAGCUGGAGAGGGAACCAGCAGGGGGAGAGGAGGGGCUCCAGGGGAAAGUGAGUCGGAGGGAUGGCUCAGAGACACUUCCAGCGAAAACAGUGGGGAGGUUUCAAGACCUCCUAUAGGGACACCCACUCCUCGCCGGAAACUGUCACGCCGAGAGUCCAGAAGACGUGUUUCCGUUAAGGAGCUUUUAUGCUGGAAGAGAUUCCGUAAGAGACCACUUUCGGAUUCUGCUAGCGACUGACGCAGCCAUGCUGGAGGGGCUGUUGAGGAUCCAGACGACAUCUGAUGUAAUUGGGGGGGGGGGCUGUUUGCUUAUGAGCAUGUUGCUGGGUAUCAGUAGAAUGGCGGGCAUAAUGGUAGCACAGUAUUGUUUCAUGCCAGGAGUGGGGACCCCCGCACACAAGAUUCAAAUCACAAACUCAGCCAUGGAGUUUAUUGAGUGACCCAUAGGGGGAAACCGACUGUCUGAAGGCAUAUGGGGCAGUGCAAGAGUGGGGGCAGCAGUCCAUGCACACCACAGUGAGCUUCUUGAAGACAAUAAAUUGUUGUUGUUUAGUCUUUUAGUCGUGUCUGACUCUUCGUGAUCCCAUGGACCAGGCACUCCUGUCUUCCACUGCCUCCUGCAGUUUGGUCAAACUCAUGCUGGUAUCUUCGAGAACACUGUCCAACCAUCUCGUCCUCUGUCGUCCCCUUCUCCUUGUGCCCUCCAUCUUUCCUAACAUCAGGGUCUUUUCCAGGGAGUCUUCUCUUCUCAUGAGGUGGCCAAAGUAUUGGAGCCUCAGCUUCACGAUCUGACCUUCCAGUGAGCACUCAGGGCUGAUUUCCUUAAGAAUUGAUAGGUUUGAUCUUCUUGCAGUCUAUGGGACUCUCAAGAGUCUCCCCCAGCACCAUAAUUCAAAAGCAUCAAUUCGGUGGCUUAAAUAAGUAAAUAAAAUGUUUUGUUCCCAAAGUGAAGGAAAGAGAAAAGAGGGGUUGCUACUG